UCCGUUUUCUUUAGAGAGGCUUCU
RNAcentral lists this non-coding RNA (24 nucleotides) under Arabidopsis thaliana (thale cress). Lineage: Eukaryota; Viridiplantae; Streptophyta; Magnoliopsida; Brassicales; Brassicaceae. The record is from RNAcentral.